RNAcentral lists this ribosomal RNA (433 nucleotides) under uncultured Clostridia bacterium. Its description in RNAcentral is "bacterial SSU rRNA". It matches the Rfam family "Bacterial small subunit ribosomal RNA", at positions 9 to 415 of the family's 1533-position model. The record is from RNAcentral. Lineage: Bacteria; Bacillati; Bacillota; Clostridia.
GAGUUUGAUCCUGGCUCAGGACGAACGCUGGCGGCGCGCCUAACACAUGCAAGUCGAACGGAGUUAUUCCGAAUGAAGUUUUCGGAUGGAUUUUGGAAUAACUUAGUGGCGAACGGGUGAGUAACGCGUGAGUAACCUGCCCCGAAGUGGGGGACAACAGUUGGAAACGACUGCUAAUACCGCAUAAGCCCACGGCACCGCAUGGUGCUGAGGGAAAAGGACUUCGGUUUGCUUCGGGAUGGACUCGCGUCCAAUUAGCUAGUUGGUGAGGUAACGGCCCACCAAGGCGACGAUUGGUAGCCGGACUGAGAGGUUGAACGGCCACAUUGGGACUGAGACACGGCCCAGACUCCUACGGGAGGCAGCAGGUGGGGGAUAGUUGCACAAGUACGGGGAAACCCUGAUGCAGCGACGCCGCGUGGAGGAAGUAAGG